This 393-nucleotide ribosomal RNA is filed under the name uncultured bacterium. RNAcentral describes it as "partial 16S ribosomal RNA". It matches the Rfam family "Bacterial small subunit ribosomal RNA", at positions 523 to 918 of the family's 1533-position model. The record is from RNAcentral.
AUACGGAGGAUCCAAGCGUUAUCCGGAUUUAUUGGGUUUAAAGGGAGCGUAGGUGGGAUAUUAAGUCAGCUGUGAAAGUUUGGGGCUCAACCUUAAAAUUGCAGUUGAUACUGGUUUCCUUGAGUACGGUACAGGUGGGCGGAAUUCGUGGUGUAGCGGUGAAAUGCUUAGAUAUCACGAAGAACUCCGAUCGCGAAGGCAGCUCACCGGGCCGGAACUGACACUGAUACUCGAAAGUGCGGGUAUCAAACAGGAUUAGAUACCCUGGUAGUCCGCACAGUAAACGAUGAAUACUCGCUGUUUGCGAUACACUGUAAGCGGCCAAGCGAAAGCGUUAAGUAUUCCACCUGGGGAGUACGCCGGCAACGGUGAAACUCAAAUGAAUUGACGGGG